This 1590-nucleotide ribosomal RNA is filed under the name Clostridium botulinum. Its description in RNAcentral is "bacterial LSU rRNA". It matches the Rfam family "Bacterial large subunit ribosomal RNA", at positions 1338 to 2925 of the family's 2925-position model. The record is from RNAcentral. Lineage: Bacteria; Bacillati; Bacillota; Clostridia; Eubacteriales; Clostridiaceae.
CGUAAACCCAAGGUUUCCAGGGGAAGGUUCGUCCGCCCAGGGUUAGUCGGGACCUAAGCCGAGGCCGAAAGGCGUAGGUGAUGGACAACAGGUUGAGAUUCCUGUACCACCAAUAAUCGCUUGAGAGAAGGAAUGACACAGUAGGAUAAGCUAACCACACUGUUGGUUAUGUGUGGCUAAGUACUGAGGCAGUCAAGGUAGGCAAAUCCGCCUUGAUAAUGCUAGGGUACGAUGGGGAGCGAAAUUAAGUAGCGAAGUAGCUGAUUUCACACUGUCGAGAAAAGUUUCUAUCGAGAUUAAAGGUGCCCGUACCGCAAACCGACACAGGUGGGUGAGGAGAGUAUCCUAAGGCCAGCGAGAGAACUGUUGUUAAGGAACUCGGCAAAAUGACCCCGUAACUUAGGGAGAAGGGGUGCCACGUUAGGGUUAACGCCCGAGGUGGCCGCAGAGAAUAGGCCCAAGCGACUGUUUACCAAAAACACAGGUUUCUGCUAAGUCGCAAGACGAUGUAUAGGAGCUGACGCCUGCCCGGUGCUGGAAGGUUAAGGGGAUCUGUUAGGAUUUAUCCGAAGCAGUGAACUUAAGCCCCAGUAAACGGCGGCCGUAACUAUAACGGUCCUAAGGUAGCGAAAUUCCUUGUCGGGUAAGUUCCGACCCGCACGAAUGGCGUAACGAUUUGGGCACUGUCUCAACAACAGACUCGGUGAAAUUGUAAUCCCGGUGAAGAUGCCGGGUACCUGCGACAGGACGGAAAGACCCCAUGGAGCUUUACUGUAGCUUGACAUUGAAUUUUGGUGCUACAUGUACAGGAUAGGUGGGAGGCUAUGAAGUCGGGACGCCAGUCUCGGCGGAGCCAUCCUUGGGAUACCACCCUUGUAGUACUGAGAUUCUAACCAGAUACCUUGAAUCAGGUAUUGGGACACUGUCAGGUGGGCAGUUUGACUGGGGCGGUCGCCUCCCAAAGAGUAACGGAGGCGCUCAAAGGUUCUCUCAGCACGGUCGGAAAUCGUGCGUAGAGUGUAAAGGCAGAAGAGAGCUUGAUUGCAAGACAUACAGGUCGAGCAAGGACGAAAGUCGGACUUAGUGAUCCGGUGGUUCCGCAUGGAAGGGCCAUCGCUCAACGGAUAAAAGCUACCCUGGGGAUAACAGGCUUAUCUCCCCCAAGAGUCCACAUCGACGGGGAGGUUUGGCACCUCGAUGUCGGCUCAUCACAUCCUGGGGCUGUAGUAGGUCCCAAGGGUUGGGCUGUUCGCCCAUUAAAGUGGUACGCGAGCUGGGUUCAGAACGUCGUGAGACAGUUCGGUCCCUAUCCGUCGCGGGCGUAGGAAAUUUGAGGAGACCUGUCCUUAGUACGAGAGGACCGGGAUGGACGUACCUCUGGUGUACCAGUUGUUCUGCCAAGGGCAUGGCUGGGUAGCUAUGUACGGAAUGGAUAAGCGCUGAAAGCAUCUAAGCGCGAAGCCAACUUCAAGAUAAGAUUUCCCACCGUAAGGGUAAGAUCCCAGGAAGACUACCUGGUUGAUAGGUCAAAGGUGUAAGUGCAGCAAUGCAUGUAGCUUAUUGAUACUAAUAGAUCGAGGACUUGACCAA